This 433-nucleotide ribosomal RNA is filed under the name uncultured bacterium. RNAcentral's name for it is "partial 16S ribosomal RNA". It matches the Rfam family "Bacterial small subunit ribosomal RNA", at positions 30 to 507 of the family's 1533-position model. The record is from RNAcentral.
CGACCGCUGGCGGCAGGCUUACCACAUGCAAGUCGAGCGGGCAUCUUCGGAUGUCAGCGGCAGACGGGUGAGUAACACGUGGGAACGUACCCUUCGGUUCGGAGCAACUCUGGGAAACUGGAGCUAAUACCGGAUACGCCCUUAUGGGGAAAGGUUUACUGCCGAAGGAUCGGCCCGCGUCUGAUUAGCUAGUUGGUGGGGUAACGGCCUACCAAGGCGACGAUCAGUAGCUGGUCUGAGAGGAUGAUCAGCCACACUGGGACUGAGGCACGGCCCAGACUCCUACGGGAGGCAGCAGUGGGGAAUAUUGGACAAUGGGCGCAAGCCUGAUCCAGCCAUGCCGCGUGAGUGAUGAAGGCCUUAGGGUUGUAAAGCUCUUUUGUCCGGGACGAUAAUGACGGUACCGGAAGAAUAAGCCCCGGCUAACUUCGUG